This 496-nucleotide ribosomal RNA is filed under the name uncultured bacterium. RNAcentral describes it as "partial 16S ribosomal RNA". It matches the Rfam family "Bacterial small subunit ribosomal RNA", at positions 28 to 506 of the family's 1533-position model. The record is from RNAcentral.
GAUGAACGCUGGCGGCGUGCCUAAUACAUGCAAGUCGAGCGAACAGACGAGGAGCUUGCUCCUCUGACGUUAGCGGCGGACGGGUGAGUAACACGUGGAUAACCUACCUAUAAGACUGGGAUAACUUCGGGAAACCGGAGCUAAUACCGGAUAACAUGUUGAACCGCAUGGUUCAACAGUGAAAGACGGUUUUGCUGUCACUUAUAGAUGGAUCCGCGCCGCAUUAGCUAGUUGGUAAGGUAACGGCUUACCAAGGCAACGAUGCGUAGCCGACCUGAGAGGGUGAUCGGCCACACUGGAACUGAGACACGGUCCAGACUCCUACGGGAGGCAGCAGUAGGGAAUCUUUCGCAAUGGGCGAAAGCCUGACGGAGCAACGCCGCGUGAGUGAAGAAGGUCUUCGGAUCGUAAAACUCUGUUAUUAGGGAAGAACAAAUGUGUAAGUAACUAUGCACGUCUUGACGGUACCUAAUCAGAAAGCCACGGCUAACUACGU